AGUGAAUAGAUACCCGGGUAGUCCACGCCCUAAACGAUGAACACUAGUCGUCGCUCUGCUAGUCAGGGCGGUGAUGCACUUAACAGGUUAAGUGUUCCGCCUGGGGAGUACGGUCGCAAGAUUAAAACUCAAAGGAAUAGACGGGGACCCGCACAAGUGGUGGAGCAUGUGGUUUAAUUCGAAGAUACGCGAAAAACCUUACCUGGCCUUGACAUUGAUAGAAUCCUGUAGAGAUACGGGAGUGCCCUUCGGGAGCUUGAAAACAGGUGCUGCACGGCUGUCGUCAGCUCGUGUCGUGAGAUGUUGGGUUAAGUCCCGCAACGAGCGCAACCCUCAUCCUUAGUUGCCAGCAGGUUAAGCUGGGCACUCUAGGGAGACUGCCUUCGCAAGGAGGAGGAAGGUGAGGACGACGUCAAGUCAUCAUGGCCCUUACGGCCAGGGCUACACACGUGCUACAAUGGGGUCGUACAGAGUGUUGCGAUACCGCGAGGUGGAGCCAAUCACUUAAAGCGUCUCUCAGUUCGGAUUGUU
RNAcentral lists this ribosomal RNA (531 nucleotides) under uncultured bacterium. Its description in RNAcentral is "bacterial SSU rRNA". It matches the Rfam family "Bacterial small subunit ribosomal RNA", at positions 774 to 1302 of the family's 1533-position model. The record is from RNAcentral.